This 301-nucleotide ribosomal RNA is filed under the name uncultured bacterium. RNAcentral describes it as "partial 16S ribosomal RNA". It matches the Rfam family "Bacterial small subunit ribosomal RNA", at positions 509 to 807 of the family's 1533-position model. The record is from RNAcentral.
CAGCCGCCGCGGUAAUACGAAGGGUGCAAGCGUUACUCGGAAUUACUGGGCGUAAAGCGUGCGUAGGUGGUGGCUUAAGUCCGUUGUGAAAGCCCUGGGCUCAACCUGGGAACUGCUUCUGAGACUGAACGACUAGAGUACGGUAGAGGGUGGUGGAAUUUCCGGUGUAGCGGUGAAAUGCGUAGAUAUCGGAAGGAACAUCAAUGGCGAAGGCAGCCACCUGGGCCUGUACUGACACUGAGACACGAAAGCGUGGGGAUCAAACAGGAUUAGAUACCCCAGUAGUCCCUGUCUCUUAUAC